RNAcentral lists this ribosomal RNA (463 nucleotides) under uncultured bacterium. RNAcentral's name for it is "partial 16S ribosomal RNA". It matches the Rfam family "Bacterial small subunit ribosomal RNA", at positions 339 to 795 of the family's 1533-position model. The record is from RNAcentral.
CUACGGGGUGCUCCAGUGAGGAAUUUUGCGCAAUGGGGGAAACCCUGACGCAGCAACGCCGCGUGAGCGAAGAAGGCCUUCGGGCCGUAAAGCUCUGUCAAGUGGGAAAAAAAUUCUUUGAUGGACAGUCAAAGGACUUGAUGGUACCACUGGAGGAAGCACCGGCUAACUCCGUGCCAGCAGCCGCGGUAAUACGGAGGGUGCAAGCGUUGUUCGGAAUUACUGGGCGUAAAGAGCGUGUAGGCGGUUUGACAAGUCAGAUGUGAAAGCCCCGGGCUCAACCCGGGAAGUGCAUUUGAACUGUUUCACUAGAGUAUGGGAGAGGAGAGUGGAAUUCCUGGUGUAGAGGUGAAAUUCGUAGAUAUCAGGAGGAACACCCGUGGCGAAGGCGAUUCUCUGGACCAAUACUGACGCUGAGACGCGAAAGCGUGGGGAGCAAACAGGAUUAGAUACCCCGGUAGUC